Molecule: small nucleolar RNA, 142 nt
Organism: Ornithorhynchus anatinus (platypus)
Lineage: Eukaryota; Metazoa; Chordata; Mammalia; Monotremata; Ornithorhynchidae
Source: RefSeq, a predicted model, not a curated record
CCCUUCUCAGGAUCACACUUGGAGAGUUUCCAGUACUCUACCAGUCUCAGCUACAGGAGGAAGAGAGGGUCAAGCAGAGGCAUACCUAUUCCACUCUUAGCUUGGGCAAUGGCUAGCGAGUGGAAGAAAAUCUGCUACAGGU